This 253-nucleotide ribosomal RNA is filed under the name uncultured bacterium. RNAcentral's name for it is "partial 16S ribosomal RNA". It matches the Rfam family "Bacterial small subunit ribosomal RNA", at positions 524 to 776 of the family's 1533-position model. The record is from RNAcentral.
UACGAAGGGGGCUAGCGUUGUUCGGAAUUACUGGGCGUAAAGGGCGCGUAGGCGGUGUGUCAAGUCAGGCGUGAAAGCCCCGGGCUCAACCUGGGAACCGCGCUUGAGACUGGCACGCUCGAGUCCGGGAGAGGAUGGUGGAAUUCCCAGUGUAGAGGUGAAAUUCGUAGAUAUUGGGAAGAACACCGAUGGCGAAGGCGGAUCUCUGGGCCAUUACUGACGCUGAGGAGCGAAAGCGUGGGGAGCGAACAGG